Molecule: unclassified non-coding RNA, 295 nt
Filed under: Hevea brasiliensis (rubber tree)
Lineage: Eukaryota; Viridiplantae; Streptophyta; Magnoliopsida; Malpighiales; Euphorbiaceae
Source: RNAcentral
UCAUGCUUGAAGAAAUCGUUCUCGAUGAGCUCAUAGUCAAGGGAUUCGAUGGGGGAGACAUUGGAGCCGACGAGGGCGACCUGGGAGGUAGCGUUGGAGGCGCAGCGGCGGAGGUUGAUGCGGUGAUCUCCGUUGAGGAGGGGCUCCUCGGCGCCGCGGGUUGGGGGCUCGGAGUCGGAGUCGGAGCCGGAGGGGAUGGCUCCGGCCAUGGGAGAUGCGGCGCCGACGAGUCGCCGGCGGGAUUGCGAGCGGAUCUUUGAGGUGACGGUCACGGGAUGGAGGUGAGAAAGAGGGA